CGCUCCCUGCAAUUUAUAUACUGGGGGUCGGGCCUGCCCGGUGCGGAGAUGAAUGUUUCUGUAAACGGCCGCCGUAAUGGGUGCAAAGGUAGCAUAAUCUCUUGCCCUUUAAUUGAGGGAUUGUUGAAUGGUCUGACGGGGGCUCAACUGUCUCGCCUUAAAAAUGUGAAAUUAACUUUUAAGUGAAAAGGCUUUAAUGCGUAGGCUGGACGAGAAGACCCCGUGAAGUUUCCCCCGUAAGGGGUUUGGUUGGGGCAACAGAGGAGUAGAAAAAACCUCCAUCUUGUUUGGUUUAUUUGGCGGUUGAUCCGUAAAGAGCGAGUAGAGGAAUAAGUUACUCCGGGGAUAACAGCGUAAUCUCCUUUGAGAGCUCUUAUCGAAAAGGGGGGUUGCGACCUCGAUGUUGGAUUAGGACAUCCCCAGGGUGCAGGAGCUCUGAAAGGUGGGUCUGUUCGACCUUUAAAGUCCUACA
Molecule: ribosomal RNA, 472 nt
Filed under: Thracia phaseolina
Lineage: Eukaryota; Metazoa; Mollusca; Bivalvia; Thraciidae
Description: partial 16S ribosomal RNA
Rfam family: Bacterial large subunit ribosomal RNA
Source: RNAcentral